AUUGAACGCUGGCGGCAUGCUUUACACAUGCAAGUCGAACGGCAGCGCGGGCUUCGGCCUGGCGGCGAGUGGCGAACGGGUGAGUAAUACAUCGGAACGUGCCCAGUAGUGGGGGAUAGCUCGGCGAAAGCCGGAUUAAUACCGCAUACGACCUUAGGGUGAAAGCGGGGGAUCUUCGGACCUCGCGCUAUUGGAGCGGCCGAUGGCAGAUUAGCUAGUUGGUGGGGUAAAGGCCUACCAAGGCGACGAUCUGUAGCUGGUCUGAGAGGACGACCAGCCACACUGGGACUGAGACACGGCCCAGACUCCUACGGGAGGCAGCAGUGGGGAAUUUUGGACAAUGGGCGAAAGCCUGAUCCAGCAAUGCCGCGUGUGUGAUGAAGGCCUUCGGGUUGUAAAGCACUUUUGGCGGGAACGAAAAGGACUGUGCCAAUACCACGGUUUGAUGACGGUACCCGCAGAAUAAGCACCGGCUAACUACGUG
Molecule: ribosomal RNA, 484 nt
Filed under: uncultured bacterium
Lineage: Bacteria
Description: partial 16S ribosomal RNA
Rfam family: Bacterial small subunit ribosomal RNA
Source: RNAcentral